UAGUGGACUCUUCUAAGAAACAGAAGU
Molecule: non-coding RNA, 27 nt
Filed under: Mus musculus (house mouse)
Lineage: Eukaryota; Metazoa; Chordata; Mammalia; Rodentia; Muridae
Source: RNAcentral